Chiloscyllium plagiosum (whitespotted bambooshark) is the source of this 2253-nucleotide non-coding RNA. Lineage: Eukaryota; Metazoa; Chordata; Chondrichthyes; Orectolobiformes; Hemiscylliidae. The record is from RefSeq and is a predicted model, not a curated record.
GUUGGGGGCGCUAACCGGCGGAAUAUUGCACUUCCUUAGCAACGUGUUGCCAGCUCGUGGCCGCAAGUGAGCAACGAGCUAAUCGAGUGGUUCGACCCAGUGUUGCAUUGUUACCAUUAAUGAGUACUCUUGGUGCUGGAUCCGGUAUACUCUCUCAAAGGUUGGCUUCAGAACAAAAACCUGACCUUGCACUUAAAAAUGGAAAACAAAACUGGUCGAAUCUUUACAACUACCAUGUAAACAGUUAAUUACAAACACGCAUUGGCAAAUUUGUUUUCUUCAGAAGUUCAGUACAUCUAUUAAAACCAAAUGAGAAGGAAAAGAUAGGAAGCCAUUCCACCCCUCCUUUCCUGGUCAUAACACCAAUAUGUUUAACAACAUGGAAAUAAAUGUGGGACUAGGUAGCACAAAUACUGUUGUCAAGCACUGAUGAAAAAUAAUUAGGUAUUGCAGUUAAAUAAGCAGAAAAUGCCUUUGCAACUUAAGCCCAUCAUCAGUAUUAGGUGUCUGUCUUGGCUUAAUGGCGUCUCCCUGAUCUCUAAGUUAGAAAUUUAAGUCGUUCUCCAGAUAGAUAAUACAUAAUCUAAAUUGAGUGUUCAGUACCAAGGGAGUCUGACCUUUGGAUGUUUGAUCUGUUGGAUGAGUUGUUAAACUCAUUUGCCCAUUCCUUUGGAUAUAAAAUAUCCCAUGUGCAGAAAAGAAAUGAGUCCUCACCAAUAUUCACCCCUAAAUGGAUACAGCAAAAAUCUAUGUAUUCUGCUAACAUAUCAGUUCUCCUACUGAAGACUUGACUUCUAGAAUUAACUGUGCCUGUUUUUAAGGUGUUCUAGCACAGCUACAACACAUGCAUUUACCCAACAUGGAAAAUUGUCAAGCUAUAUCAUGCCCACAAAAGACAAGACAAAUCCAGUGUGACCCAUUAGCACCUGAUCAAUUUACUGCACAAUAAAUAGUACUCAGCAACAACCUACACAUCAAUGCUCAGUUUGAGUUCUGCCUUGGCCAGCCAACCAGAUCUCAUUGUGAAAGUGGACCAUACAUGGAUAAAAAUGCAAAUUAUAAAGAUGAGGUGAGAGUAAUUAUUCUUAACACCAAGGCAUUUGAACAAUUAUGGAAUCAAAACCCCUAGAAAAAAUAGCCAAGACAAAUUGAGGAAAAUUCAAUACUGGUUGGAAUCGUGUCUUGCACAAAGAAAAUUGCUGUAAUUGUUGAGGUCAAUUAUCUUAAAUCUCAAGGUUUAACCUUUGGUCCACUCAUUUUUACAUUUUUCAGCUAUUUCAUUAAUAAUCUUUUCACAGUUAUAAUAUCAGAAGUGGGAUGUUUGUCAAUACUUUCACAGCAUUCCAUAUUUAGAUUUAGAUUAGAUUCCCUAUAUUAUUUGCAACUUUUAGAUGAUGAAGCAGCAAAGGCCCAAAUGAAGCUAGAACUGGACAACAUUCAGGCUUAGCCUGAUAUGUGACAAGUAUCAUGCAAUUGCCAGAAAAUGGUCAUCGCUAACAAGAGAAAAUCCCAUUUUCUCCCCUUGAUAUUCAAUACCAGCACCAUUGCUGAAUUCCCCACCAUCGAUAUUCUAGGCAUAAUCAUUGACCAUAAGCUUAACUUGGCCAACCAUUUAAUUGCUGUAACUGGAAGAGCAGGUCUAAGGCUGGGAUUUCUGCAGUAAUUAACUCAUUUCCUAACUCCCCAUAACAUGCCCUCUAUCCACAUAUCACAAAUCAGGAAUGUGAUAGAAUACUUUCUACUUAUCCGAAAGAGUGCAGCUCCUAUCACUACAUCAAAGCAGUUUUUAGCCACUAUCAUAAACAUUCACUUCCUCUAUCACCAGUGCACAUUAGCAGCGGUGUGUAUCAUCUACAAAUGAACUGCAGCAAGUGACCAAGUCUCUUUCGACCGCACCCUCCACACCUGUGACUUCUGCCAUUUAGAUGAACAAAGAGCAAACACAUGAGAACAUACCACCUACAAAUUUCCUACCAAAGAAAUAUGUGCAGAUGUAAAUUUUGAUGUGGUGGAUUUUGAGAAUGCUACUGAGGAUGUAGGAAAUGAUUUGUAUGAAUAAUUAAACUAGAUAGAAGCAAGUAAAAUAAAUAAAAUAUAUUUUUCUCAAAUGAUCUUUUUGUGGAUAAACUUUUGUGUGAAUUGAAGUAUUUGUGUUUCAUAUUUGUGGGAAGAUAAUUGUUAAUUAAUGUAAUUGUGUGAAAGAAAUUAAUCAAGUGAAUUAUUGAAUGAAAUCUAAUGGAAAUAAGAAACAUU